AUUGAACGCUGGCGGCAGGCUUAACACAUGCAAGUCGCGCGGGGUGAUGGUGCUUGCACUAUCACUUAGCGGCGGACGGGUGAGUAAUGCUUAGGAAUCUGCCUAUUAGUGGGGGACAACAUCUCGAAAGGGAUGCUAAUACCGCAUACGUCCUACGGGAGAAAGCAGGGGAUCACUUGUGACCUUGCGCUAAUAGAUGAGCCUAAGUCGGAUUAGCUAGUUGGUGGGGUAAAGGCCUACCAAGGCGACGGUCUGUAGCGGGUCUGAGAGGAUGAUCCGCCACACUGGGACUGGGACACGGCCCAGACUCCUACGGGAGGCAGCAGUGGGGAAUAUUGGACAAUGGGGGGAACCCUGAUCCAGCCAUGCCGCGUGUGUGAAGAAGGCCUUAUGGUUGUAAAGCACUUUAAGCGAGGAGGAGGCUCUUUUGGUUAAUACCCAAGAUGAGUGGACGUUACUCGCAGAAUAAGCACCGGCUAGCUCUGUGCCAGCAGCCGCCGCAG
Molecule: ribosomal RNA, 503 nt
Filed under: uncultured bacterium
Lineage: Bacteria
Description: partial 16S ribosomal RNA
Rfam family: Bacterial small subunit ribosomal RNA
Source: RNAcentral